Molecule: ribosomal RNA, 492 nt
Filed under: uncultured bacterium
Lineage: Bacteria
Description: partial 16S ribosomal RNA
Rfam family: Bacterial small subunit ribosomal RNA
Source: RNAcentral
AGUGAACGCUGGCGGCAGGCCUAACACAUGCAAGUCGAACGGCAGCACAGUAAGAGCUUGCUCUUACGGGUGGCGAGUGGCGGACGGGUGAGGAAUACAUCGGAAUCUACUUUUUCGUGGGGGAUAACGUAGGGAAACUUACGCUACUACCGCAUACGACCUACGGGUGAAAGCAGUGGUUCUUCGCACCUUGCGCGAUUGAAUGAGCCGAUGUCGGAUUAGCUAGUUGGCGGGGUAAAGGCCCACCAAGGCGACGAUCCGUAGCUGGUCUGAGAGGAUGAUCAGCCACACUGGAACUGAGACACGGUCCAGACUCCUACGGGAGGCAGCAGUGGGGAAUAUUGGACAAUGGGCGCAAGCCUGAUCCAGCCAUACCGCGUGGGUGAAGAAGGCCUUCGGGUUGUAAAGCCCUUUUGUUGGGAAAGAAAAGCAGCAGGUUAAUACCCCGCUGUUCUGACGGUACCCAAAGAAUAAGCACCGGCUAACUUCGUG